This 311-nucleotide ribosomal RNA is filed under the name uncultured bacterium. RNAcentral's name for it is "SSU rRNA". It matches the Rfam family "Bacterial small subunit ribosomal RNA", at positions 26 to 328 of the family's 1533-position model. The record is from RNAcentral.
AGGAUUAACGCUGGCGGCGUGCAUGAAACAUGCAAGUCGAGCGCGGUGUGAUGCGGGGUAACCCAAUUCACAUCUAGCGGCGAACGGGUGAGUAACACGUGAGCAACCUACCUUUGAGUUGGGGAUAGCCCUGGGAAACCAGGAUUAAUACCCGAUGUGGUCACAACAGGACAUCCUGAUGUGAGUAAAGGCGUAAGCCGCUCAAUGACGGGCUCGCGGCCUAUUAGCUUGUUGGUGGGGUAACGGCCUACCAAGGCGAUGAUGGGUAGCUGGUCUGAGAGGACGAUCAGCCACACUGGACUGAACACGCG